RNAcentral lists this long non-coding RNA (357 nucleotides) under Cucumis sativus (cucumber). Its description in RNAcentral is "long non-coding RNA (CSAT_LNC000647)". Lineage: Eukaryota; Viridiplantae; Streptophyta; Magnoliopsida; Cucurbitales; Cucurbitaceae. The record is from RNAcentral.
CACCACCUGUUCCAGUUUAUGAAAAACCUGUUCCACCACCUACACCGGUAUAUGAAAAGCCACUUCCACCACCUGUUCCUGUUUAUGAAAAACCUCUUCCCCCACCUACACCGGUCUAUGAAAAACCACUUCCACCGCCUACUCCAGUUUAUGAAAAACCUCAUCCUCCGCCUACACCUGUCUAUGAAAAGCCACUUCCACCGCCUGUUCCUGUUUAUGAAAAACCUCUUCCCCCACCUACACCGGUCUAUGAAAAACCACUUCCACCGCCUACUCCAGUUUAUGAAAAACCUCAUCCUCCGCCUACACCUGUCUAUGAAAAGCCACUUCCACCGCCUGUUCCUGUGUAUGUAAAGC